UACAGGGGGUGCAAACGUUGCUCGGAAUUAUUGGGCGUAAAGCGCACGUAGGCGGUUCGUUAUGUCAGAUGUGAAAGCCCUUGGCUCAACUGAGGAAGUGCAUCUGAAACUGGCGAGCUAGAGUAUGUAAGAGGGUCGCGGAACUCCCGGUGUAGAGGUGAAAUUCGUAGAUAUCGGGAGGAACACCGGUGGCGAAGGCGGCGACCUGGGACAAUACUGACGCUGAGGUGCGAAAGCGUGGGGAGCAAACAGG
This 253-nucleotide ribosomal RNA is filed under the name uncultured bacterium. RNAcentral's name for it is "partial 16S ribosomal RNA". It matches the Rfam family "Bacterial small subunit ribosomal RNA", at positions 524 to 776 of the family's 1533-position model. The record is from RNAcentral.